RNAcentral lists this unclassified non-coding RNA (354 nucleotides) under soil metagenome. RNAcentral's name for it is "partial contains 5.8S ribosomal RNA, internal transcribed spacer 2, and large subunit ribosomal RNA". The stretch from base 1 to 120 matches the Rfam family "5.8S ribosomal RNA", at positions 35 to 154 of the family's 154-position model. The record is from RNAcentral.
GAUGAAGAACGUAGUGAAAUGCGAUACGUAAUGUGAAUUGCAGAAUUCAGUGAAUCAUCGAAUCUUUGAACGCACAUUGCGCCCCCUGGCAUUCCGGGGGGCAUGCCUGUCCGAGCGUCAUUUCUGCCCUCCAGCCCGGCUGGGUGUUGGGCGCUGUCCCCCCGGGGACACGCCCCAAAGGCAGUGGCGGCGCCGCGUCGGGUCCUCGAGCGUAUGGGGCUUUGUCACCCGCUCGGGACGGACUCGUCGGCGCUGGUCUUCCUCCAGGCGACCCUUCGGGGCUCGUCUUCCUUCGGUUGACCUCGGAUCAGGUAGGGUUACCCGCUGAACUUAAGCAUAUCAAUAAGCGGAGGA